GAUCCCCACUGCGCCUGCCUACUAUCUAGCGAAGCCGCAGCCACGGGAGCGGUCUUGGGCUAAUCAGCGGGGAAAGAAGGCCCUGUUGAGUUUGGCUCCAGUCUGACACUGUGAAAUGACUUCGGUGGUGUAGCGUUAGUGGGAGCUUUGGCGAU
This 155-nucleotide ribosomal RNA is filed under the name Alexandrium monilatum. RNAcentral's name for it is "partial Eukaryotic large subunit ribosomal RNA". It matches the Rfam family "Eukaryotic large subunit ribosomal RNA", at positions 2331 to 2487 of the family's 3401-position model. The record is from RNAcentral. Lineage: Eukaryota; Dinophyceae; Gonyaulacales; Pyrocystaceae.